AGAAUCAAUAUCCUCACCACUAUCAUCAGUUUCAACGCAACCAAAAUUGUCGCGCUCCAGAACGACCAUCGCCACACCCAUAGCAUCACAGAACCACCACUGUCACGCCCACGCAUCACAAAAGUCGCUGCACCAGCGCCACAAUCACAACAUCAUAGAACUACUACCGCCACACCCUUAGCAUUGCAGAACUCACCCCACCACUACCACACCCACUAUGUUACACUGCAAGACCACCUCCAUCAUCGCCACGGCUAUCACCACCAUCAACACCAAUUGCGACCACUACCUCAUCCCUGCCUCUAGUAGCGCCACAACCACACACGAGCUCAACAACGACCAUGACAACCAAUACCACUACCAAAUGCUACCACAAUGGCAGCACCAUCUCCUCCAACACCAUCACCUGCACUAACGUGACCAUCACAACCACCAACUGCAUCAACACAGUUAUCUACUCAACCACCACCACUAUUCGCAAAAACACCAUUCACCACAAAAAACUCAAACUAAACAGAUCUAAUUAAAAAAAAAAAAAAUCAAAAACUGCAAUACCAUUGGCGACAAUGCACCGCUGCAGAUCUUGUCGCUAAAAAAGAUCACGUUGCUUUAGAUGUGCCCGUCAUUCGUGCACUAUAGAUCUAGAUAAUCGGAUGUUACAUAUUCCCGUGCAUAUCGACUGUUACUGCAGUCACUCACGACGAUCGGAGGUUGCAGAUUCCUGUGCACAUCAGUUGGAACUGUAGCCACUCACGCCAUGUACACCGUAUAGAAGUUACAUCUUGAUGCAGCCACAGUCCCAUCGUCGGUAUGACCUCAAUGAAACUUCCUUCCCUUAUGAGAGAGAGAAAGGUGAAAUGGGGGAAGAGAAAGAGAUGGGAAAUGAAGGAGAUU
RNAcentral lists this long non-coding RNA (894 nucleotides) under Olea europaea subsp. europaea. The record is from RNAcentral. Lineage: Eukaryota; Viridiplantae; Streptophyta; Magnoliopsida; Lamiales; Oleaceae.